This 74-nucleotide transfer RNA is filed under the name Gammaproteobacteria bacterium. Its description in RNAcentral is "tRNA-Gln". It matches the Rfam family "tRNA". Rfam says of the family: Transfer RNA (tRNA) molecules are approximately 80 nucleotides in length. Lineage: Bacteria; Pseudomonadati; Pseudomonadota; Gammaproteobacteria. The record is from RNAcentral.
UGGGGAAUCGUCUAACGGCAGGACAGCGGACUCUGACUCCGUUAAUCCAGGUUCGAAUCCUGGUUCCCCAGCCA